Molecule: ribosomal RNA, 430 nt
Filed under: uncultured bacterium
Lineage: Bacteria
Description: partial 16S ribosomal RNA
Rfam family: Bacterial small subunit ribosomal RNA
Source: RNAcentral
GUGGGGAAUAUUGCACAAUGGGCGCAAGCCUGAUGCAGCAACGCCGCGUGAGGGACGACGGCCUUCGGGUUGUAAACCUCUUUUAGCAGGGAAGAAGCGAAAGUGACGGUACCUGCAGAAAAAGCACCGGCUAACUACGUGCCAGCAGCCGCGGUAAUACGUAGGGUGCAAGCGUUGUCCGGAAUUAUUGGGCGUAAAGAGCUCGUAGGCGGUUUGUCGCGUCUGCUGUGAAAACCCGAGGCUCAACCUCGGGCCUGCAGUGGGUACGGGCAGACUAGAGUGCGGUAGGGGAGAUUGGAAUUCCGGGUGUAGCGGUGGAAUGCGCAGAUAUCAGGAGGAACACCGAUGGCGAAGGCAGAUCUCUGGGCCGUAACUGACGCUGAGGAGCGAAAGCGUGGGGAGCGAACAGGAUUAGAAACCCUUGUAGUCC